CGUGGCUGCUUUUUUUCCACUGAACGGCUCGUAAAAGUUGUUAUUUAUUGGACUUAAUGCUGACGCCGAAGCGGCAGCGAAGUGGUGGCCCUCGUGUGAAGCCCUCCUUGUGUGAAGACCUACUUGGGUAAAGACCAGCGAGUCUACCUGUGCGAGUCCACCGAGCAAGGACACCGACAAGGCACUACUCACCAAAGCACUUAAACCGUUCACAAGAUACAGAUGCAAGACAAAACGCAACCCACACAACCUACGGCCGCUUUGCACUUCAACACCUGCUCCACUCUCGUUCUCAGUGGGACUCUGGAACUGCCAGUCUGCUGUGAACAAAGCUGCCUUCAUUCCGGCUUUAGCCACGCAGUCCACCCUCAGCAUCCUGGCACUGACAGAGACAUGGAUACGUCCUGAGGAUACAGCAACACCUGCUGCUCUCUCUAACAACUUCUCCUUCUCCCACACCCCUCGACAUACUGGUAGGGGUGGGGGAACAGGUCAGCUGACAAGCUUUCUUGAGGAAUUGGAUGUCCUGCUGUCCUCCUUGCCAGAGGAUGGCAGGCCACUUGUGGUUCUUGGUGAUUUCAACAUACACCAGGACAAACCCCAGGCCAUUGAACUGAAUACUCUUCUGGCCUCAUUUGACUUGGAAAGACUACACACCACAGCAACUCACAGACCAGCACGGACUACACCACCCAGCCCCUGGCUGUCUGACAUCCUUCGUGAACAUCGGACUGUUCUCAGGGCAGCUGAGAGGAGAUGGCGGAAAUCUAAAGAUCCAGCUGAUCUAGCCCAACGACACCACAGUGACCGUUCGAAUCGCUGCCUGUCUGGCAGACAUCUCGGCCUGGAUGAAGGAACACCACCUUCAACUCAACCCUGCCAAGACAGAACUCCUUGUCUUUCCAGCCAACCCUGCUGUUGAACACAACAUCACCGUGCAGCUGGGUCCAACUACAGUUUCGCCU
Molecule: RNA transcript, 965 nt
Organism: Xyrauchen texanus (razorback sucker)
Lineage: Eukaryota; Metazoa; Chordata; Actinopteri; Cypriniformes; Catostomidae
Exons: 5
Source: RefSeq, a predicted model, not a curated record